This is a ribosomal RNA of Bacteroides sp. An322, 2000 nucleotides long. It matches the Rfam family "Bacterial large subunit ribosomal RNA", at positions 1 to 2015 of the family's 2925-position model. The record is from Rfam. NCBI's taxonomy places the organism in Bacteria, Pseudomonadati, Bacteroidota, Bacteroidia, Bacteroidales, Bacteroidaceae.
CUGAAAGUAAGAAAGGGCGCACGGCGGAUGCCUAGGCUCUCGGAGGCGAUGAAGGACGCGGCAAGCUGCGAAAAGCCGCGGGGAGGCGCACACAGCCUUUGAUCCGCGGAUUUCCGAAUGGGACAACCCGUCAUCCUGAAGGGAUGACAUCCAUCAGGGAUGGAGGCCAACGCGGGGAACUGAAACAUCUUAGUACCCGCAGGAAAAGAAAACAACAGUGAUUCCCCCAGUAGUGGCGAGCGAACGGGGAACAGCCCAAACCGCACGUGUUACGGCAUGUGCGGGGUAGUAGGACCGCGCCAUCGCAAGACGUCAGGGGAAUGGAAGGCUCUGGAAAGUGCCGCCAUAGAGCAUGACAGCUGCGUACAUGAACCCUGAUUAAGCGUAGCGGCAUCCUGAGUAGCGCGGGACACGAGGAAUCCUGCGUGAAUCCGCCGGGACCAUCCGGCAAGGCUAAAUACUCCCGAGAGACCGAUAGCGGACCAGUACCGUGAGGGAAAGGUGAAAAGCACUUCGGACAGAAGAGUGAAAUAGUACCUGAAACCGUGCGCCUACAAGCGGUCGGAGCGCGCAAGCGUGACGGCGUGCCUUUUGCAUAAUGAACCUACGAGUUGCCUUGCAUGGCGAGGUUAAGCGCAACGAUGCGCGCAGCCGAAGCGAAAGCGAGUCUGAAGAGGGCGUUCAGUCAUGCGUGGCAGACGCGAAACCGAGUGAUCUACCCUUGUCCAGGAUGAAGUCCGGGUAACACCGGAUGGAGGUCCGCACCAAUAAGCGUUGAAAAGCUUCUGGAUGAGGUGAGGGUAGGAGUGAAAGGCCAAUCAAACUCGGAGAUAGCUCGUACUCCCCGAAAUGCAUUUAGGUGCAGCCUCAAGCCAAAGGCGUCAAGAGGUAGAGCGACUGAUAGGAUGCGAGGGCUUCACCGCCUGUCAAGUCCUGACAAACUCCGAAUGCUUGACGUCCGUUCCUUGGGAGUGAGGGCAUGGGUGCUAAGGUCCGUGCCCGAGAGGAGAACAAUCCGGACCGCCGGCUAAGGCCCCGGAGUGACAGCUAAGUUAGUCUAACGAAGUCCGGCCCCCGAGACAGCUAGGAUGUUGGCUUGGAAGCAGCCAUUCAUUUAAAGAGUGCGUAACAGCUCACUAGUCGAGGUGCUGGGCGUGGAUAAUAAUCGGGUAUCAAGCUGUCCGCCGAAGCCGCGGGAUACACAGUAUCGGUAGGGGAGCAUUCCAUUCUGCGCCGAAGGCGUUCCGUAAGGUACGCUGGAGCGUAUGGAAAAGCAAAUGUAGGUAUAAGUAACGAUAAAGGGGGCGUGAAACCCCCUCGCCGCAAGACUAAGGUUUCCUGAUCAACGCUAAUCGGAUCAGGGUAAGUCGGGACCUAAGGCUCAGCCGAACGGCGAGGCCGAUGGCAGAAACGGUCAAGAUUCCGUUACUGCCCUAUGGUGUGACGCGGUGACGCGGACGUGACACUGCCGCCGUCUGACGGAAUAGACGGUUUAAGGGUGUAGGAGUAGAUUCCCGCAGGCAAAUCCACGGGAAGAUCCGAACCUGAAAGUACGGAGCGCCCUCCGGGGCAAUCCGAGAGCGCAGGUAAGCAUUCCGCCGAGAAAACCCGCUAAACUCCAGCCAUGGGGCACCCGUACCGCAAACGGACACACGUAGUCGGGUUGAAUAUACUAAGGCGCUUGGGUUAAUCACGGUUAAGGAACUAGGCAAAUUGACCCUGUAACUUCGGGAAAAAGGGUCCCUACCCAGUGAUGGGAGGGCGCAGAGAAUAGGUCCAGGCAACUGUUUACCAAAAACACAGGGCUGUGCGAAUUCGAAAGAAGCUGUAUACAGCCUGACACCUGCCCGGUGCUGGAAGGUUAAGAGGAGAGGUCAUCUCACGAGAAGCCUUGAAUUGAAGCCCCAGUAAACGGCGGCCGUAACUAUAACGGUCCUAAGGUAGCGAAAUUCCUUGUCGGGUAAGUUCCGACCUGCACGAAUGGUGUAAUGAUCCGGACA